This 498-nucleotide ribosomal RNA is filed under the name uncultured bacterium. Its description in RNAcentral is "partial 16S ribosomal RNA". It matches the Rfam family "Bacterial small subunit ribosomal RNA", at positions 30 to 523 of the family's 1533-position model. The record is from RNAcentral.
AUUGAACGCUGGCGGCAUGCCUUACACAUGCAAGUCGAACGGUAACAGGUCUUCGGAUGCUGACGAGUGGCGAACGGGUGAGUAAUACAUCGGAACGUGCCUAGUAGUGGGGGAUAACUACUCGAAAGAGCGGCUAAUACCGCAUGAGAUCUACGGAUGAAAGCAGGGGAUCGCAAGACCUUGUGCUACUAGAGCGGCCGAUGGCAGAUUAGGUAGUUGGUGGGAUAAAAGCUUACCAAGCCGACGAUCUGUAGCUGGUCUGAGAGGACGAUCAGCCACACUGGGACUGAGACACGGCCCAGACUCCUACGGGAGGCAGCAGUGGGGAAUUUUGGACAAUGGGCGAAAGCCUGAUCCAGCAAUGCCGCGUGCAGGAUGAAGGCCUUCGGGUUGUAAACUGCUUUUGUACGGAACGAAAAGCCCCGGGUUAAUACCCUGGGGUCAUGACGGUACCGUAAGAAUAAGCACCUGCUAACUACGUGCCAGCCGCCGCAGUAA